RNAcentral lists this ribosomal RNA (403 nucleotides) under uncultured bacterium. RNAcentral's name for it is "bacterial SSU rRNA". It matches the Rfam family "Bacterial small subunit ribosomal RNA", at positions 355 to 775 of the family's 1533-position model. The record is from RNAcentral.
UGGGGAAUCUUGCGCAAUGGGCGAAAGCCUGACGCAGCCAUGCCGCGUGAAUGAUGAAGGUCUUAGGAUUGUAAAAUUCUUUUAGCAGGGACGAUAAUGACGGUACCUGCAGAAAAAGCCCCGGCUAACUUCGUGCCAGCAGCCGCGGUAAUACGAAGGGGGCUAGCGUUGCUCGGAAUUACUGGGCGUAAAGUGAGCGUAGGCGGGUUAUCAAGUUGGAGGUGAAAGCCCAGGGCUCAACCUUGGAAUAGCCUUCAAAACUGAUAGCCUAGAGUAUGAUAGAGGUAAGUGGAACUCCGAGUGUAGAGGUGAAAUUCGUAGAUAUUCGGAAGAACACCAGUGGCGAAGGCGACUUACUGGAUCAUGACUGACGCUGAGGCUCGAAAGCGUGGGGAGCAAACAG